Molecule: RNA transcript, 1399 nt
Organism: Phoenix dactylifera (date palm)
Lineage: Eukaryota; Viridiplantae; Streptophyta; Magnoliopsida; Arecales; Arecaceae
Gene name: early nodulin-like protein 8
Source: RefSeq, a predicted model, not a curated record
CGAAGUUCAUCAUGAGAUGGUCAAAAAAUGAGGGCUCCCAAGUGACAAGAGUAACUCUAGAUAUUGUAACAGCAAUGUGAGAACUCCAGAUGUUUCUAAUCCUCUCAGAUGAAGUCGCGCUGGUGGUGUUAAUGACCUCGGGCUCUAUCUAUCACAGCCUUCGGAGAUGCCCUAUAUACAACGGCUAUUUGGUGAGCAAGAAUCAGUAAAAAGACGGUCCUUCGCUUUCCAUCCUCCUUUUCACUCUCUCACCUCCACACUUUCCUCCAAGCGGCUGGGAAGGGGCUCGCAAUAACUCUGUAGCUAGACAAAAGAAAGAAAGAAGAAAAGAGGAGAAAAUGGUCCCAUCUGGCAUUGCCGACUGCCGCCGGCUCUCGUGGGCAUUCCAAUUCCUCGCAGCAAUGCUAAUAAGUGGGUGCUGGUGCUACCAGUACAAGGUGGGAGAUCUCGACUCCUGGGGGGUGCCCCCACCCUCCAACCCCCACGUCUGCGCCCUCUGGUCUCAGAAAUACCACUUCCGCCUCAGCGACUGACUCUUGUUUCUCUACCCGCCGAGCCAGGACUCGGUGAUCCAGGUGACGGAGCGGGCGUACAACAGCUGCAGCCUAACGGAUCCGAUAAAGAAGAUGAACGAUGGCAACUCGGUGUUUAAUCUUACGGCGCCCGGCAAUUACUAUUUUACUAGUGGCGUCCCGGAGCACUGCCAGAAGCUCCAGAAGCUGGCGAUCGCCGUCCCUGCCGCUAAUGGCACCUUCUUCCCUCCGGGGGCAGACGCGCCGCCGCCGGGGGCGUCGUCGGCGCUGCCUGCCGCUUCUCCUUCGUAUCCCAUCGUCUUCGGCCCCUCCCCGCCGCAGGGAUCGGGGGCGGGCUCGCUCGGGGCUCAGCGGCUGUUGGGUCGGUUGUCGGUUUGGUCCUUCUGCGUCUCCUGUGAGAGAAGAACAGGACCUUGAGAUUUUCCUGGAGAAAAUCUAGAUCUCGGUUUCUCUGUAUUUAUGUAAUCUUUAAUUGUGGGCACUCGGCACGGGUUUCUUUUCUUCUUUUAGAGAAGGUAGAGAUGGAACAAGAUUAUUAUUAUUUUUUAAAACUUUUAGCAGCAGCAAUAGACGUGCUGUUGUUACGGGGCAAAGAAUAGACGAUCCAAGACCAUCACCAUGGUUCUAUUUAAUACGUCCUUUGAAAAACAUAAUAACAACAACGUGCGGCCACAUAAAGUCUAAACUCUAUCUAAACAUUGAAAAUGAUAGAGCAUCCAAUUAGUUGUUUCACGCGGUGAUAGGUCCUUUCAUGGCCUUUGCACUGCCUUUUAGGUCCAGCAGCAAAGUAGAAUCUGCAUUUCUUUCUCGGGAGCUCACCGGAAUACAGGACAGACUUUGAGAUCCAUGCUAUCCCAUCCUCUAUC